Molecule: long non-coding RNA, 16336 nt
Filed under: Oryza sativa (Asian cultivated rice)
Lineage: Eukaryota; Viridiplantae; Streptophyta; Magnoliopsida; Poales; Poaceae
Description: long non-coding RNA (OSAT_LNC001163)
Source: RNAcentral
GCGAGGGGGGUGUAGAACCAGUCGCUCUUCCAGUCAUCCCACUUUUUACGGAGGACGCAGGGGAUGUAGCGGUUCAACACCGGCCCCCGCGGCAGGAAAUAGCAGCCGCCGACCACCGACGGUGGCGAUACCGACUGCACGGUAAAGAACCACCGGAACAGCCGGAGAGAUGGGCGCACCCCAAUGAACAUCUCGCACAGGUGUGCAAAGAUGCCCAAUGUCAUCACUGCGUUGGGGGUAAGGUGCGCCAUCUGGAGAUCGUAGAACUCCAGGACAUCCAUGAAGAAAGAAGAAAAUGGCGGAACCAGCCCUGCCAUUGCGAAGGGGAGAAAGAAGACGGACCGCCCCGGGUAGUCUGGCGCCGGGCGUCCCUCACCCAGCAUUACUAUCUCACGGCCGGUGGCAGAUUCCGGCAUGAAGCGGCGCGGCAACCCAGCCUGCUUCUCGCUCACAAUGCGAGAAGGCGGCAGCACGCUACCAUCAAGCAGUGCGGAGCCCCGUGCCAUGGCGCCGGACGAAGAGAAGAUGAAGAGCGAGCGCGUGUGGCGAAAGAAGGGCGCAGGGAAGAAGGAGUUAGGACGCAAGCGGCGAAGGCAAGGGAAAUGAUGGCGAAAGGAAGGAGACAAAUCCCAUCCUCAGUGCCUUUAUACCCUUGCCAACGCUGUGCCCGGCUCCUCGUUUCUCGCGCCCAUUAUUUCGCCCCCUCGUUUCUCGCGCCCACGCUUCCACUAAUCCCAUUCGCCCGCUUGCGGCGCGUAAGAUGGAUAUGCGGUUGCGGCAGUCGAGAUAGAUCGUAUCGUGCGCGCGUUAAUUACGCUCGCCGACCGAAGCGACAUUACCAUAUCUCCAGGCGAGGCAAAUCGGCUCGCCCAGAUUCGUGCGCCGCUCAGGUGAUGUGGCAGUCUUGAAGAGACCGCCCAUUAUUGACAGCCAAAUUACCAUUACCGGUGUGCAUGGUUUGAGACCGUUGGGUUUUUGCCCAACCAUGGAGACCGGUCCCAUCUGUCACCAGGCUUUAGGAGUGGCGUCACGCCCGGCCGCUUCCCAUAAGAAGGGCGAUCGCCCUGGCAUAACGCCGGGGGCUACUGUCGGUGACAUGGGACCGGGAGUAUCAUGACUCGAGGCUUGAGGCAGACACAAUCGCCCACGUGGCCUGGCACCCUCGGGGGACGUCGGGCCCGAGGGUGAUGUGCGCGCCCACCUCUUGGUCUUCCCAAGGGGGGGGGGUCGGACCACUCCAGCCUCGCCCCCGAGGGCCGAGGCGCCCCGACCCCUCGCGUUUUCUGCUCCACGUGUAUGGGUUAGGUGAGCACAGCAGGGCUCACCUAACCGCAUUUAUUGCGCCUCGGCUAAGCGUGUCACGCCGCACGAAGUGCAGUGCAGUGCACUCGAUUAUCCGGUCUGUGACCAGUCACAGACCGGUCAAAUCACGGGUUAGGUGGCGACAGGCGGUCAGACGCAUGCUACGCCCCAUCCUGUCUAGACGAGAGCUUCUAGGCACUCGUCCCCGGCUGGAGCUGGCGUGUUACAUCCCAGAGAUGACACGUUAGCCCCGAUCGAUAUAUGCCAGGCUUCAUCCUAACCAUUACAAGCAAGAUGUUGUUUGAAGAAGGGCAAACAUGCACGUUGCUGAGCCGACGUGUGGUGGACAAGAAUGACCGAUUUGUGACCGGUCUGACACUGCUCAUGUCGUCAGCACACAGCCACCUUCCCACGACGUGCCCGCCUCAGGCAGAAGUGGAGGUAGGUAUGUGCCGUCCCGUCAGGAGGAUGUUCGGAGGACGACCGUGCAAAUCUCCGUCCAUUUAUGAAAAGAAGAAAAGUCCAGUUUGGAAAGGGAGGGGUGCAUGUGGUAUCCCCUUGAAGUAUAAAAGGAGGACCUUGCCCAUAGAGAAAGGGUUGGAUGCUUUCCAGAUUCAGAGCCUAGAACGAGGGAGAGGUCGGCUCACACUUUGUAGCUCAUUCAUACACAGAUCCACCAAAACACAGGAGUAGGGUAUUACGCUUCUCAGCGGCCCGAACCUGUAUACAUCGCCCGUGUCUCGCGUUUCUUCCUAGCUGGCGAUCUUUCCACAUACCGAGAGAGCUUGAGAUUUCACCCUAAGCCCCCGGCCGAACCGGCAAAGGGGGGCCUGUGCGGUCUCCCGGUGAGGAGCCACGAGCUCCGUCAGUCCUUCGGGCACGCCUUGUUGAGGUCUGUGAAAUCGACACACAUGCGCCAUUUGCCAUUCGAUUUCCGCACCAGUACCGGAUUCGCCAGCCACUCGGGGUGGUCGAUCUCCUGGAUCACCCCAGCCUUGAGCAGCUUUUGGACUUCAGCUUUCGCUGCUUCUUGGCGAUCAGUGGAUAUCUUGCGUAGCUUCUGUUUUCUUGGCUUGGCAUUCGGCUUGACCGCCAGGUGAUGCAUGAUAAGGUCUGUCGAAACACCUCCCACCUCAUCGGGGCCCCAGGCGAAGAUGCCAAUGUUUUUCUUGAGCACCUCUAGGAUGUUCUCAACUUCUCUUUUGCCCAUGUCGCCCCCCAGCAAUACAAGCCUUGUGGGAUUGGCAUCGUCGAUCUACAUCUUGAUUACCCUGCCGUGAGGGGCGGGCUUCGGCGCGUGCUUCGCCCGGUCAUGCGGUUCGGCCUCAACAUUGCACACUGCUCCGUUGAUUACGGCCAAAUCGCCCUUCGAUGUAGCCGAAGGUUGAAGCCCCUUGACCAUGAUCAUUCCUGCAGGGCCAGGCAUCUUGAGCUUGAGAUAAUUGUGGUGGGAGAUGGCUUCAAACUUGUUUAAGGUCGCACGGCCGAAGAUGGCAUUGUAGUUGUACGGGAUGUUGACAACGUCGAACAGUAUUUGCUCUUCGCAUCUGUUUUCGCUUGUGUCGAAGGCUACCAUCAAUUGCGCUUGGCCUAGGAUUUGAACUGCUUCUCCGCCGAAACCUCGAAGCGAGGCCUGUGCUGGGGUAAGGGCUAGGGUAGGCAACCCCAUCUUGGCGUAUGCUUCGGCGAAGAUGACAUCGGCCAAACUCCCUCCGUCGACUAAGAUUCGCCGGACUUCGAAGCCAGCUAUUUCGGCCAAGAUCACCAGGGGGUCUUGAUGUGGGAACAUCACUCCUUGGUCAUCUUCUGGUCCGAAGGAGAUCUGCUGGUUCAAAUAUUGCGGGGCCCCUUCGCCCGCCGAAGUGAUGUUGUGCACCAUUCGCAGCUGCAUCUUCUUUUGCCGUUUUGACAGUUGAUUCGGCGGGUCGGCCCUUGUAAUCACCUGGAUUACUCUGCGCUGCACAUCUUGGCGCUGUUCGGCCGGGGGUGCCUGUUCUUGAACGGCUUCGCAAGGUGCUUCAACAGCUGCUCCUGGUUGCGGCCUUGGGUCUUUCCUAACCUUCUUGCGAACGGGCUGCUGAUGGCUGCUUGCCUGCUGGGCGUUGAACUCCUUGCGGAGAGCUUGAACUUCUUCGACAACCAUCACAGCCUUGCCUGCAUGGUCAGUUCUGAAUUUUCUCCAAGUCAUGGGGGCUUGGCCUUGCCUUGGCGGUUGACCUUGGUUCGCCGGCUGAGGCUGGCGAACAGUGAGAGGAGCCGGUUCGACGACUUGGGCUUGUACUUGGGCUUGAGCAGCGGCGACAGAGGCUUUAUCAUACUCAGCCUGGAUUGCCUGCCAUCGCUUGAAAUCCUCUUCGCCCCUUGCGUACUGUCACACCCUGAAAAUCUUAAAUAUAUAAAUUGUUGAUUAAUUGGAAUUUUUAGAAAUUAUUUAAAAAAAGCCUACAAGCUAAACCCUAAUUUUCUAGGAAAAUUUUCAACAUAAAAAUGAGCUAGAUAAAAUUUUAUUAAAUACUAUGCUUGCUCCUCUAUUUUCUAGAAUUUUCUGGGAAUUAUUUGAGCAAGGGAAGUAUUUUUAAUAAUUGAAACAACAUUUCAUAAAUUGUUUUAUUCAAAAAAGUUCAAAAGUUCCCCCUUCUUGGUCCUUGGGCCGUUUUCGGCCCAGUCUCUCCCUUUUUCUCUCUCUUCCGCGCGCGGCCCACGCCGGCCCAAGCCGCUGCCGCCCGCGUCUCUCUCGCGGAGGCUGACAGGUGGGGCCUACCUGUCAGAUUCGUCUCCCACCUCCGGCCGGCCGCCGCCGAGCCGAACCCUAGCGCCGUUUUGCGCCAUCGUUUCCGCCCAAAUCCGAGCCCAAUUCCUUCGAUUGAUUGAGGGGUUUUGUUCCUCUCGGUCUCCUCUUUCUUUUCCCCCAAGAAUCAAAGAAAUCCGUUGCGAUUUGGAUUCGAAUCGAGUUCGUUUGUUUUUUAUCCCUAAAAACCGAGUUUGAUUUCUUCCCGAUUCGAUUCCUCCCGUUUGCGGCUUGAUCUCUUCAAUCCGAGCUCAUAUAAAGCUUCCUCGUGUUCUCCUCUUCCGUUUGCCCCCUUUCCCGUGCUCUCCCGUGCCCCGUAGCGUCGCCGCCGCGUGCACGAAGUCCGCCGCCGCCGCCGGCCAUCUUCGGUCGCGUCGCGCCGCCGUCUCCGCCGUCGCCUUUGGUCGCCGCCACCGCCGUUAGGUGCGCCGUGGUGUGGAGAAGCUCGGCCGCCCCUCCGUUUUCGCCGCCGACCAUCGGAGCGCCGCCGUCGCCGCUAACCCGAGCCGCCGCGCCGCCUUUGCUCGUCGCCGGCCGCCGUCGUGCACCGUUUGCCGUAGUGGUGAGUACCAACGGGUUCGCCUCGUUGCCCUCUACGCGUAGGUGGUCUCCAAUCCCGCCGCCGUUGUCCCUAGCGCCGGCGAGCUCGUCGACCCGAGCCGGCCGUCGUGCUGACGUCAGCAUGACGUCAACCCUAGGGCUGACGUCAUCAGGGUCAGGGCUGACGUCAUCUCUCUCUUUUUCUUUUUUCUCGAUUUUCUAAUAGAUUAAAAAUUUGGAAAAUCAUAACUAAAUAACCGUAGAUCCGUUUUAGGUGGUUCAAGUUUCUAAAUUUUUCUAAAAUCAAGAUCUACAUGUUAAAAAUAUUCACAUGUACUGUUUAUGCUUGUUUUUGUACUGUUUUGUUGAUUUUGUUUAUUUGCUUUAGUUUCCGUCGUUCCGGAGGAGAGCGUUUCUGUUGAGGAAGGUUCCGAAGCGUUUGUGGAAGCCCAAGGCAAGUCACACAGAUCCCAAACAACCCUUUGAGCAUGUUGAUCCCGUUUAAAGCUAUUAUUUUAUUUCAACUAUGCAUUGUUUUCGAAUGUUAUCGGGUGGUGAACCUUUCCCAAUUAAAUUAUGGCCGAAGAUGACUUUAUUUUCCUAUGGGUUAUAAUUUGAUUAGCAUGAACCUUAUAUAUUGGAUUGGUUCGGCUAAAUGCUAUAUAUAGGUUUGCUUAGCCAUGCUUAGAAACAUUAGCUAACUAAAAGGGGGUAAAUAUAAUUAAAUUACAUAAUUAUUAUUUAAUUAUGGUUAUAUUCAAUGGUAGCUCACGAUGGUUGAUCGUGUGAUGUUAAUUAUUUGAUAAUUAAAACCUGGCUAAGGUGGGUUGUGAGCAUAUGGUAUUGAUGGUUGUGCUCAUGACAAUUAAGGACCGGUUCGCGAGCUACUGUUGUGAAACAUUUAUCGUGCCAACCACAAGCCAGCGUGGGCAACGGCUUUAUCUUUUGUAUAGUAUGAUUCAUUAUAGUGUGCCAGACUGAGAAGUGGCGAGAAGUCCAUGGGGGUCGCUGGGGAGUCCAUGCCUUGUUUAUAAGGGGGUGAUUAUGAUCCAGGAAAGGUGCACUGUGGUGAGUUGUGUUAUGCAAGGGAUAUUGUCACAAUUCCUUUCCGAGAUACCGUGGUGGUAUUGAGGCACAUGGUAACAUGAUGUGGGGUUGUGUCUUGUGGGUACAGUGGUACACCUCUGAUCAGAGUUUAAUCUAUUCGAAUAGCCGUACCCGCGGUUAAGGGUAAGUUGAGCAAUGUUUUUCGUGAUUAGUCUCACACUACUCAUUAAUGGUAAUAAUGUGUUAAUUAAUUUAAUUCCUGGUUUGGAAUGGCAAAUUCCUGGUUUGGAGGGUUAAUUUGUUCAACUGGGGUUGGUUGUUCAAAGGUGGUUGGGCCUAUGCAACACGGGUGUGUUGUAUAGUGUUUGUUUAAUACUGAUUAAUUAUUCAACUGUUUUACUGUUCUCUUAAAUAUUUAUUAAAUGCUGUUUCUGCAAAUGAGCUAUAUUAUGCCAUCCUUUGUUAUCCUGUGCACUUGCAUAUUUGCUGUGUGGCUUGUUGAGUAUGUUAUAUGCUCAUUCUUGCAAUAUUCAUUCAUCAGAAGAGGAGUUUUUCAGUGAAGGUGAUGAUCUGGAGGAAUAGGCUUGUUCUUGGUUAAGUUGCCUGUGGAGUGGAGUUGCCAUAGCUGUUCCGUCGUUUGUUAUAGUUUUAUCUUUCCGCUGCGUAGAAUGUUAUUUUUCUUUGAGAGGAACUAUCCACCUCUGUAAUAAUUUAUUAUUUGCGAAUAUUUGAUAGUUAUUUGUACUCUAUUAUCAAUAUUGUCAUUGUGUGCCUCGGUUGAUUCCUGGACGAGGGCUUAACACACAUGUAAGCGUUUGGAAUUUUGGAUAGAAAUUCCGGGCGUGACACGUACCCGUCAAUGAUGCGAAGUAGGUGCUCAAGCGUUUGCGGCUCUUUGUUGGCGAUUUUUCUUGUGAGUUUGCCCUCGAGCAGCCCGGCCGAAGCGGCGUUGAUGACGGACGCCUCAGUUAUGUCCUGCACUUGACAUCGGGCUUGCGAGAAGCGACGCAUGUACUCCCUUAUCAAUUCCCCAGGCCUCUUGCGAAUACCGAGUAGAUGCUGCUGCGUCUUCGGCUCCUCGUAGGUGCCUCGAAAGUUAAGGACAAAGACAUCGCGCAAUUGCUUCUAUGAGUAAAUGCUGUUAGCUGGUAAAUUGAAGUACAAAGAACGGGCGAUGCCGUCUAGAGCGAGAUGUAUUACCUUCGCCUUGGUAUUUUCGUCUCCAUGAGCGGCUUCGAUCGCGGACUCGUAGAUGGACAAGAACUCUUUUAGAUCCGUUUCGCCCGAAUAGCGUGGGACGGGUGGGAACUUGAACUGGGGUGGGAUUGGACGGAUCUUGAUUCCCCCACUCAGUGGUAGCCCCUUUUCGCCCCCCGCCCUGUUCGCGGCACCUUGCUGUGGAUAUGGCGUGGCGAAGGGCGAGGUCAUGGCUUGCGCAUGCGGCUGGGCCACAGUGUUCGGCUGCCUAGCCCUGAUCGGUGAUGCUUGGUGGGCCGCCAUGGAUGGGUCGAACGUCGGCUGGGUCCAUGCCAUGGUGACCUAGUUUGGUUCUUGGUUUGCUCCAAAGCCUAGUGUUGGUGCCUAUGGCCGAACGGUUGGUGCUUGAGCAGCGUUGGUGAAGUCGAAUUGUGGUCCUUAACUCCAAGGCGAAGCCCCCGGACCAGGCUGAUUCGACGGCAACCAAUUGGGUGCACCUUGACUCGUGUUCCUCUCCGGCUGGGCCGAGGGGGCUGUUCCUGAAAUGCUGUGGGGUUGGCUGAGAUGCUGAAGGAAAGCUUGAAGCUGUGCCUGCAAGGCCGAAGCCCCUUCUGCCAUUGCUUGUGACAUUUGGCCAAGUGGUGGAGGAUGUACUUGGGCAGCGACCGGCUGAGCUUGCGGCUGCACAUGAGGGGCCGGUUGCAUUGCUGUGGUUGGAGGCUGCCCAGUGAAGUAUACUGGCAUUUGCAUGGCUUGUGGCGGAUGGGGCUGGAUUGGUGCUUGCGGGUAGACUUGGGGUGGGAUGUAGCCCGCCGAAUACUGGAGGAUUGGAGCCGAAGCGACCUUGGCCUGCCUCGCCGUCUUAUACGCCUGCUGCUGUUCUUGCAUCUGACGAACCAUGUCUUGGAGUCGCGUCAUGUUCCGGCGCAUGGCCUCCAUGUCGGCUUCGACAUGUGCUUAGAGGUCGGGGUUGACUUGUGCGGCGGCGAGCGCGGUCGAAACCGUUGCCGGCUAUGACGAAGCGGCUUGGGGCACCAGCAGCUGGCCUGUCGAAAGGGUCUCCGCCCUGGUCUGGAGCGCGCUAGCCGCUGCGGCUGCCUUCGCCGCGUCGACCGUGUUCGGUACCUGCCCCGACGAGGCAGCAGGAGCUGAAGACGGUGGUUGUGGCGCGGGUGCUGAAGCCGAUGGGGCUCCCCUAUCUUCGGCGAUUGGCGCCGAAGGCUCUGCUCCAUCUUCGGCGGCCAUCUCCCCUCCUACUUCGCUCGCCUUUCGCCUGGUAACCUUCUCUUUCACGACCCUCUUUGGUAGCAUUCGCUCUCAGUGGUUUCGCUCGGAGGUCCCUACGGUCGGCGCUAGCUGUUGUCGAAACGACAACCGCAUACGUCGAAAGAGGUAGUUACUCAACAGUGGUUGGAAAACAGUUAUAGUGUAUUGAAUUGGGAUUUUUUUCUUGAGAUCCCCCUAUUACAUGGCCCUAGGGGGCUAUUUAUAGCCCCAUUACAGGUUCCCACUACUAGGGUUUAGGUUAUACAGGGGAAUUUACAUGGUUACCCUUAUGAUAGGGACAUUAUGGAGGGCAAAUAGCUCGGCCCAUCUAUCUGGCGAAAUCCCCCGAGGGCGUAAUGGCCCACCAAGCCUCCCGUCAACGGGGUUUGGUGCUAUGGCGAAGCCCGUGCCUGUGUGCCGAGGCUUUCGCCACAUCAUCUUCGCCCGUGCCGCCUUCUGGCGAGAACUCCACUCGGCGAAGGUGGUGUUACCCCAGUCACGGCUUUCGCCCGUAUGGCUUCACUCUUGUCCUUCGCCGCCCACCUUCGGCGUGAGCCUGUUGCUUAAACUUUUUGGUUUCGGCAGGUUCAGCCGAAGGCCCUCCGUGGCAAGCCUCCAACAAACACAAUUCCCGGCAUAGCAAGAAUAUAUGCUUCGGGAGGCAUGCAUUCUUAUUUUGCGGAGAUAUGUACUCCUUUGAAAAGAUUGGAAUGGUGGUGAAGAAUAGUGAAUCUGCCUUUACCUGCCAUAACUAUUUCCUGAGAUACAGAACAAUAAGCUCUGUUUGAUGAGUGACCUGAACUAUUGUGCUAUAUAUUAAAAUAUAUUAAACCAACAAAAAUAUGAAUAUUAAUAUCUGAAAUGGUAAUUAUGUGAUUUUUAAAUUCUAUUGUAACAAAAGGGCAUUUGACUAGUAAUUGAAAAACACACAACAACUAGCAUGUGAAAUUCUUUGAACACCUCGAGGCUCACUGGAAAAGCAGACAAAAUCAUUCAAAUGUCCAUGUUAUUUUCAUUUAUUCAUACGAACAACCAAACACUAUUCCAAAUUUCCAUUACGUGACACACACGAUAAUGUGCGACACUUUAUUUAUCAAAGUAUAUAUGCUAGUACACACUACCAAGAACCGCAACGACUAGUAGCAACGAUACACGGAGUGUUGCAGUACCUAGGGUAGACACCACACAUGGAGGGUAAGUUGAGAGCCACCUGGGCCUGGGCCUGAGCUUGGGGCACACCAAAUAAGCUAGCAUCUAAUUGCACCUGUUGCAUGAUCGCCUGCACCAUGGUGAAAAUAGCCUGGCAGCGAUAUUGCUGCGCCAUCAGCCUCAUCCGCCGACAGCAUUGUUGUCGCAUCACCUGGCAGCUGCUCAGUUUUAGCCUGUGUGACUGCUCCCAAGGCAGGCUCACUGGGCUGCACUGUCGCCUCACGAACUCAUUGCACGAGUUCAUGAUCGGUUGCAUGAACGGCUGCUGUUGGCUUUGCCCAUAGGUGCAAGCAUCAAACUGUGCUGAGGCGCUGCUCGCUGCGAGGGCGAGGAGAGAGAGGAUGACAAAGAUCUUUAUAGCUAUGAGAUUGAUGUUAGAGAACUCUUAUACCGUUUUGAUGUUUGUGAUUUUUCCAUAAGGAUAAGGAGCAUCUUUGAUAUAGUUCAUUUGUAUUUAUAGUGGGGAUAGCAUGAUCUCUACGCUCAAGACAUCGGUUGCUUUUGGUUUUGUGCAAUUUGUGUUGUUUCUUGUGUGCAUCUUGGGGUUGCUUGUAUUCAUAUGCCUUUUAAUAUGAUCAUUUGGGAUGUUGUGCUAGGUGGAGGUACACAUACUUGGACAUGCCAUCGUCAAAGGUACUUUAGUAACUAUCUCAUCUUAUUGUUAUCAGUUUUUGAUUAUAAAUAUGAGUCAUUACUCACUUUACAUGUCAUAUUUUUUUAUCUAGAUACAUUGUUUUGUGAAAUGACGUUUUGUAACGUUAGGUAGGUAGUGUUUAACUUCAGAAUACACAUAUCUGUUGUACACUCAAAAGAUUUUCUGACACUUAAGUAUGGAUCAACUCCAAGCUUUAGUUUGUCAUUUUGGGCUUUGGAACACGAGAUGACAUUCUUCCUUACUUCUGUAGCAAUACACCAGCCUUAUAAAAACGGAUUUGACCAAAAAGUUUUUGAAACUCCAAGCUCAUGCCACUAUCAGAUUUUGAUCCUUACAAACGAAGUUACUUCAGUUCCACCUAUUUGUAAUAUUAUUUAUAAAUUGAAGAUAUGUAUGUCCACAACGUGACACAAAAUACAAAUUCAAUUUCACAAAAGCAUUGCCCCCAUAAUAAACCUUUUGAUAUGUAAAGUGGAAUUGAUGAGUCAUAAACUAAAUCGGUUCCUCAGAAAGGACAUAACGCACACACUACAGCAGAACAAGCUAGCAGUGACGGGCUCAAACCCUCUUCUGUGACGGAUAGACUCCCUCGUCACAGAUCAAUGGUCACUGAUGACUUAACUCACCUUUGACGGGUGUAGGUCCGUCAGAGGUGACAAACACCUUUGACGGGUUGUGUCAUGUGACCCGUCACAGAUGAGAAAAAUCACCCAAAAAAAAAAGGAAAAAAGAGCCACAACCACAGCUCAACACCCGUCACUGAUGUAGAUUUCGAUAAAAAAAAACAAAAAAAAAGUGCUUCUGGGUAGUUGCCAUCGCAUUCAUCACACACAACAUUUCAUCACACAGAAAAGUCUUCACGAACAUUUCAUCACACAUAAAACAGCCAUGGCAAGCAAGCAAUUCAUCAAUCACCUGACGAGCAACAAAAACGAAGGGAAUAAAUGGUUGUGGGUUUUGCCGGGCAGGGCUUCUUCAUACCACGGUGGGCUUGAACUCCUUGGCGCACUAGACCUUCUUGAGCUCGGCCUGGAGGCGACCUUGCUCCUCCUCCUUGCGGAUGACCUCGUCCCUAUUACUGCUCCUCGACGCCGCCCUCUUCGCCUUCUGCACCCGGAAGCAGCCGACGGGGGAAUCUGCAGUUCUGCACUCGUCAGUUGGGGACGCAGCCGGCGGACGGAGGAGACGACGCCCGGUGGCCGGAUCCGCGUCCCCUGACCUUGUGGAGGACGGAUCUAGCGCCAGGCGGUCGGAGGUGGCGCCCGUCAGUUGGGGGAUGGAGGUGGCCCCCGGCGGUCGGGGAUGGAGGCCGCGGCGCCGCCGUUCACCUCCUCCUCGCCUCCUCACCGCUGCGUCGAGCCGUCGCACCGCAGCACCGCCGCGCGCCGUUGAGAACUCCACGCCGCUGCCACUUCAAGAAAAACCGGAUUGAGAAAUAAGAGAAGGGAGAGGAGGGGAGAAAGAAGGGGGAGGAGGAUGGGGGUACCACCGAUUUUGUAGUCCCUGCGUGUAGUCUGGGGGCUAUUAUAGCCUGAUUUAUGUAGGGACAAUCGGAAAAUUUAAAAUAGCUAGCCUUCGUCACAUGCCCUCGUUUGACUACACUAGUCAAUCCAACUGUGAAAGAAAUUUGGGUACGUGGCCCGCACCGUAGUUAACCCAGCUUACCGCGAUUAAAGAUUCUAGACUAGGCAUCAAGCAGUGCUGCACAUGCUAUAUAUUUUAAUUUAUCAAUAUCAACUUGGUAUUUAUUAAUUUAAAGAUUAGAAUCAUUAUAUUAUAUUUCAGAUUAGAAACUGAGCACUUUACUGUAUUUAUGUUUGAAAUUAUUAAAUCAUCAUAAAAACGAUUUGAGACUCUAGAUCAAGUACAACGCAUUAUUAAUUAAUUACUUUUUAGUAAUUCUAAAUUUAAGAAUGAUUAAAUUAUAAAAAUAGAAUUACGGCUUCAAACCUUAUUUGCUAAUUUUUAAUUUUAGAACUAUUAAAUCGUUUAAACUAAGAUUGAGACUCUAGAGCAAGUGCAAUUUGUUGUUAGUUUAUUAAUUCUGAAUUUUAUAAUUAUUGAGUCAUAGAAAAAAAAUCCAAACCUGGUAUAACUGCAUAUUUAUUCAUUCCAAUGGAUAAGUCUAUAUAUUGUGUGAUAGAAGAUCUUGACUGUGGACACAUUUGAUUUCAUCAUUUUUGUAUUAACGUUAUUUCUAGCUCUUUUGAUUAGUGAUAAUUUCUAGCUUUCUACCUAUGGUAGGAUUAAAGUGGGGUUUCUAGUAUGACCCUCAAUUAAUAUAUAAAGAUUGACUGUAGUAUGACUUUAUCACUCUAUUAAUAUGAAUGCUAAAUUUAAUCUUCAAGUGAAAUUGUGAAGGGUAAAGGUAUUUUGAUAAUGUUAUUUCAUGGGGUUAGACAAGUUGAUUGGCAGAGUGACGGUCGCAAGAAGAAGAAGUAUCAACUAGCUAAGAGGGAUAUAAUGUGCCGCCAAAAAGAUCGGGGGGGGGGGGGUUAGGAAUUCAUGAUCUGCAAGUAAAGGAUAAUGUGUUAGUUAGUAAAUGGCUUCAUAAGUUGCUUACAACUAGUGGUAUGUGGCAACAAAUGAUACGCAAUAAAUAUUUGGGAUUUUAGCAUUUAUCACAAGCCCUAUUGAAAGAUGGGGAUUCACAUUUUUGGGCUAGCUUUAUGAAGGCCAAAUAUGAUUUUUCUCCAAUGUGGGUCCUUCAUAAUUAAAUAUGGCUCUCAAAUUAGAAUUUGGGAAGACAAAUGGUUAGGCACUGCAACCUUGCGGGAUCAAUAUCCCUUCCUAUAUAUAAUAUUGUUAGGCAUAAAUAAUCAACCAUUUUAGAGGUCUUCCAAACAUACCCAUGGGCUUGAUUCGCUCAAAAUUAGUGGCGUGGAGCAACUUGUUACCCCGUAUCGCUAAUAUUAUGUUAACAUAGGAUCAAGUUGAUUUUCACUGGAGUCUCUCCCCAAAUGGCAAGUUCUCCAUUAAAUCUUUCUAUCUAGCUCUGGUUCAUAAUGGUGUCCCAAAUAUAAAUUAGCGAGGUAAUAAGAAAUGUUGUUUUUUGUCACAAAGAGAAGGCAAUUAAACAUUUAUUCUUCCAAUGCCAUUUUGCUCAUCCAUUGUGGUCUAUUAUUCAUAUAGCUUCAAACAUAUGUCCACCGCGUAGUGUUUCACGUUUGUUUGGGAGUUGGUUGUUGCCACUUUCCAAAGAUAUGAGACCUCAAGUCCUGCUAGGAGCGGCCACCAUGUGUUCAGGGGCGGAUCCAUGAACAAAAAAUUGGAGGGGCUUAAUUAAACAGUUUCUUCAACCUCCAGCCAUCUAGGGACCUUUAGUUUAUCAUUCAUAGUGAAAAAAUUGAAGGGGGUGCUCCGGGAGGUAUCUAUGGGUCUUGUGGGUGUAGGGGGGACUCGAGCCCCCCCUGCACCCACGUUGGAUCCGCCCCUGCAUGUGUUGGUCCCUAUGGUUAUGCAUGAAUGAUGUGGUUUUUACAAGAAAAAUAUUUAUUCUACCAGGUUGAAAAGGGAAAGAUAAUAUUAUACCACAUGAAAAAUACUAGUUUUCACGGUUGAGUGGGGUACAUGCUUUAAUACCUUUUUUUUUCUUUUUGUGCGACUACUAUACAUAAGAAUGAAUAGAAUUCCAAAGCAUAAGGCUAUCGACCGCAGCAAGUUGAAAACAUAAAGAUAAUAUUAUACCACCCUGGAAAUACUAGUUUAUGCAGUUGAGUGGGUCACACGUUUUAAUACCUCUUUCUUUUUAUGCGGCUACUAUAGAUAUGAAUCAUAGAGAAUUCCAACAUGUGAGACUAUCGACCGCUACCAAGUUGAAAAGAGAAAAGUAAUAUAUAAUACGAAAAAUACAUGUUUGUGUGGUUGAGUGGGGACACGGUUUAAUACCUUUUUCUUUUUACGCGACUACUAGAGAUAAGAAUGAUAGAGAAUUCCAACCUGUGAGGUUACCGACCGCUACCAGAUUAAAAAGAGAAAUAUAAUAUACAACACAGAGUUUGCAUGGUUGAGUGGGGGCACAUGCUUAAAUACUUUUUUUUCUUUUUACGCAACUACUGGAGAUGCAUAUUGUCGAAGAAUUCCAACGUCUGAGGCAACCAACCGCUACCAGGUUGAAAAGGAAAAGAGGAUAAGAACAAGUAAAAUACGAAUUUGCGCAGUUAAGUGGGUCACAGACAUUAAUACUUUUUUCUUUUUGCGUGGCUAUUGAAGAGAGUAACAAAAUGUGAAAGAAUUCCAACGUGUGAGGCUACUGAUCACUACCAGGUUAAAAAGGGGAAGAGGAUAUGCAACAAGCAAAAUACUAAUUUUCAUGCAUUUUUUCGCGACUACUGGAGAUACAAAAUGUCAGAGAGAUACAUAAUGUUGGAGAAUUCCAAUAUGAGAGGCUACCAACCACUACUUGGUUGAAAAGGAAACGAGGAUAUACAACACGGAAAAUACUAAAUGUGUGGUUGCAUGGUAUAAAUGUUUUAAUAUUUUUAUCAUCUGCUUAUGUAACAUGGAUUAUUGUUACGAUUGUGCACCCUGUGCGGCAUUGGGCUUAGAGAUGCCAGCUCAUUGUUUUUAAAGUGAUUUUGAAUAUAAAUAUAUAUAUUUGAACAAAUUCACAUUAUUUAGGUUUUUCAACAUAAAGUUUUCUUGCAAAUUAUUGUUUUUUAAAUUGCUAAAAUAAUAUCGCAAGCUUUUGGAUAAAAAACUUUCUAAUGUAUCUGUAGUAUAAAUUUAGUGUAACUACAUUGUAACUAUAGUAUAAUUACACUAAUGUUAACUUAGAUAUGAAUUUACAUGAUUUUUAUAAUCUGAUACAAGUUAUAAUGUAGUUAUAUUUGAAAGUUUUCCACUCAAAAAACUUGCGGCAGUUUUUCCAUAUCGUCAUAAAAUUUCCCAUUUUUAUAUGAGGGUCACAAAAAGUGUUUUUUCAAUUUUCUAUAUAAAUAUUUUAUCUUGCUAUAAAUAUUUUUAAGAGGAAACUGUUUAAUGGACAAAUUUGCUAAAGGGGGACUUCUUCUAUGUUUAUAGUGAGUUUUUUUCUAAUAACUCUUGCAGUAAGUUUCUUCUAAAAAAGUUUCUAUAAAAAGUUUUUGGGUAAUCCUUUUGUAUGAAAUUUCUGCGUUGGAAACUUAUACGUAAGUCACUAUCUAGUGCUUUGCAUGGAGAUAGCUAGUUAGCACUUUUGACAUGUGUAUAACUUGUGCACAUAUCACUACGCACACAUAUACGAAUGUUGCCUACACACAAUUAAAGAGAUAGAGAUCAACAUUAUAUCUCUGAUCUUACUGAAUUCCAAUUAAACAUAACUUUGAGUAUCUCAUCUUUUCAUUUCUACAAGAUCAGAUUAAUAUAUUAUAUUGAUUUGCUUCUCUUUCUUAGUAUGAAAACAAAAAAGAAUAAUAUGAUGAAAUUUGUAUGUACAGUAAAACCGAAAAUUAAUGCAGCCACUGGAUACCCACAAUGCCUGUUUGCUUCAACAAUUGGACAUGUUAUAAUUUUCAUUUAUUCAUACGAACAGCCAAAGACUAUUCCAAAUUUUAUUACAUGACACACACGAUGAUGUGUGACACUUUAUUUAUCCAACUAUAUAUAUAUGAUGGUACACACUACCAAGAACCGCAAUGACCAGUAGCAACUUUGCAUGGAGUGCUGCAGUACCUAGGGUAGACUCCACACAUGGAGGGCAAAUUGAGAGCCACCUGGGCCUGGGCCUGAGCUUGGGGCUCGCCAACAAAGCCAGCAUCAAACUGCACUUGCUGCAUGAUAGACUGCACCAUGGUGCAAAUAGCCUGGCAAUGAUAUUGUUGCGCCAUCAACCUCAUCUGCUGACAGCAUUGCUGCCGCAUCACCUGGCAGCUGCUCAGUUGUAGCCUGCGUGACUGCUCCCAAGGUAGGCUCAUCGGGCUGCACUGUUGCCUCACGAACUCAUUGCACGGGUUCAUGAUCGGUUGCAUAAACGGCUGCUGCUGGCAUUGCCCAUAGGUGCAAGCAUCAAACUGUGCCGAGGCGCUGCUCGCUGCGAGGGCGAGGAGAGAGAGGAUGACAAAGAUCUUCAUGGCUAUGUGAUGGAUGCUAGAGAACUCUUAUAACGUUUUGAUGUUUGUGAUUUUUCAGUAAGGGUGAGGAGCAUCUUGAUAUGGUGCAUUUGUAUUUAUAGUGGGAAUAGCAUGAUCUCUAUGCUCAAGGCAUCGGUUGCUUUUGGUUUUGUGCAAUUUGUGUUGUUUCUUGUGUGCAUCAUCGGCUGCUUGUAUUUGUAUGCCUUUUAUGAUGAUCACUUGGGAUAUUGUGCUAGGUGGAGCUACACAUACUUGGACAUGCCAUUUCAAAGGUACUUUACU